This 247-nucleotide ribosomal RNA is filed under the name uncultured bacterium. RNAcentral describes it as "partial 16S ribosomal RNA". It matches the Rfam family "Bacterial small subunit ribosomal RNA", at positions 523 to 769 of the family's 1533-position model. The record is from RNAcentral.
AUACGGAGACUACGAGCGUUACUCGGAUUCACUGGGCGUAAAGGGAGCGCAGGCGGAAUGGUGUGUUAGGUGUGAAAUCUCGGGGCUUAACUCCGAAAUUGCGCCUAAAACUAUCAAUCUAGAGUCUUGGAGAGGUAAGCGGAAUUUCCAGUGUAGCGGUAAAAUGCGUAGAUAUUGGAAGGAACACCGAUGGCGAAGGCAGCUUACUGGACAAGAACUGACGCUCAUGCUCGAAAGCGUGGGGAGC